AUGGAGAAUGGCUCUCCUUGGAGAGGAAGGAGAGAGAACGGUACAUCUAAAGGAUGCAAUCUAUCAUCCUAAACAUUGAAUGCCUUCCCCCCGCCCUGGAAAGUUUCCAAGCUCAAGUAAUAUUCUAAAUAGAGGAGAAAGUUUAACAAAUACCAAAUAUUGGCAGAAGAAGCGUAAAAGGAAGCAGAGAAAAGAUCAAAUGAUGUGAACUAUAAAAGCUCUCAGAUCUUAUGAAAAUGGAACUGAAAAUCCUAAUGAAAACAGGAGUUCAGAAGUAUUCUUUGGGCCAAGACAAAACCAGCCUGGAUUCUGUCAUCCUUUUGGUGAAUGAUUUAUUCCAAGGAUCCUCUCCUGCAAGCGCGGACACACUGCAGCCCUCCCUGGACCACCUGCAAGACUCUCAACCAC
This 408-nucleotide long non-coding RNA is filed under the name Columba livia (rock pigeon). RNAcentral's name for it is "partial uncharacterized LOC102091375". The record is from RNAcentral. Lineage: Eukaryota; Metazoa; Chordata; Aves; Columbiformes; Columbidae.